UAGUUAGCUUUUCGGUGAAGGAAAACAUCGUGAGGAAACUUGUAUACAUCUGCGAAGAAAUUCAAAGGUGUAUGUGAAGUCCCCAAUCCGCAUUGGGCUAGCGUGGGGACUAUAGCCCGAGCCAUCUCGCACAUGAGAGGAGGCCUGUGCCCAGCAGUGGGACGUAUAAAGGCUGAAUUAUUAUUAUUAAA
This is a long non-coding RNA of Cydia amplana, 191 nucleotides long. RefSeq lists it as uncharacterized. The transcript is spliced from 2 exons. The record is from RefSeq and is a predicted model, not a curated record. Lineage: Eukaryota; Metazoa; Arthropoda; Insecta; Lepidoptera; Tortricidae.